This 468-nucleotide ribosomal RNA is filed under the name uncultured bacterium. Its description in RNAcentral is "partial 16S ribosomal RNA". It matches the Rfam family "Bacterial small subunit ribosomal RNA", at positions 28 to 507 of the family's 1533-position model. The record is from RNAcentral.
GACGAACGCUGGCGGCGUGCUUAACACAUGCAAGUCGAACGGAAAGGCCCUGCUUUUGUGGGGUGCUCGAGUGGCGAACGGGUGAGUAACACGUGAGUAACCUGCCCUUGACUUUGGGAUAACUUCAGGAAACUGGGGCUAAUACCGGAUAGGAGCUCCUGCUGCAUGGUGGGGGUUGGAAAGUUUCGGCGGUUGGGGAUGGACUCGCGGCUUAUCAGCUUGUUGGUGGGGUAGUGGCUUACCAAGGCUUUGACGGGUAGCCGGCCUGAGAGGGUGACCGGCCACAUUGGGACUGAGAUACGGCCCAGACUCCUACGGGAGGCAGCAGUGGGGAAUAUUGCGCAAUGGGCGGAAGCCUGAUGCAGCAACGCCGCGUGCGGGAUGACGGCCUCCGGGUUGUAAACCGCUUUCGCCUGUGACGAAGCGUGAGUGACGGUAAUGGGUAAAGAAGCACCGGCUAACUACGUG